Molecule: ribosomal RNA, 439 nt
Filed under: uncultured bacterium
Lineage: Bacteria
Description: partial 16S ribosomal RNA
Rfam family: Bacterial small subunit ribosomal RNA
Source: RNAcentral
CUACGGGUCGCACCAGUGAGGAAUAUUGCACAAUGGGGGGAACCCUGAUGCAGCAACGCCGCGUGGAGGAUGACGCAUUUCGGUGUGUAAACUCCUUUUAUAUGUCAAGAAAAUGACGGUAGCAUAUGAAUAAGCACCGGCUAACUCCGUGCCAGCAGCCGCGGUAAUACGGAGGGUGCAAGCGUUACUCGGAAUCACUGGGCGUAAAGGACGCGUAGGCGGGCUUGUAAGUCAGGUGUGAAAUCCUACAGCUUAACUGUAGAACUGCACUUGAAACUACGAGCCUAGAGUAUGGGAGGGGGAGAUGGAAUUAGUGGUGUAGGGGUAAAAUCCGUAGAUAUCACUAGGAAUACCUAAAGCGAAGGCGAUCUCCUGGAACAUAACUGACGCUAAGGCGUGAAAGCGUGGGGAGCAAACAGGAUUAGAUACCCCCGUAGUC